GAUUGAUGUGAAGAUUUUAGGCGACAAGUAACAAGUCGCACGGAAUAGCUUUGGUGUUCCGUAGGCGCGAUAAAAUUCUUACCGUAUUAUUCCGUGUAUAACGACCCCCUUUUAGUUCACAAAUUAUCAAAGUCCGAUUAAGUGGGUGGUUAUACACAGGUAGUAACUUUUCUAUUCGAUCAUAGAGUGGAGGUUAAAACACGUACAACAUUGUUACAACUGAUGAAAUGUAGAAAACAAUUUUUUAAAUUUUUUUCAUAAACAUAAAAAAUUUGUUUUUGGGGGUCGUAUACACUGAAAAAUACGGUACUUUGCUAUGUCGACAAUGAAGGAAAAAUAGUAAACAGCGGUUGGCUGGUAUGUUGCAAUGUUCCGUUUCGUCAGAAAUAUGUGCAAUGUGAUGUUAAUAAUUUGAUUUGAAUUUUCAAUGACGGCAAAUUUCCUUCCAAAUAAUGUGUUUAACCGAAUAUCAUGGCGUACUAUUGGUACUUACCAAAUGCUGUGUUAUAACUAGGCAUCGUGAUGAGGUUGGGUUUGUGAUGUGACGUGUUGUUGAUGUUGGAUAGUGAAUGUGUACUAACGAUACGGGAUAAUUGCUACGUUAUGUGCAACGGGAAGAACAUCACUACUGCAGUCCAAGUUUCUACGUUCGAGCCCACGAUGACCACUGGCGUGUUCUUUUUAAAAAGUUUGAUAAAAGAUCUAAGGAUAUUUUAUUCACCGGUAAGUAGAGGAAGGAGGUAGGUAUGUGCUAAUGAUCAUUGCAUAAUUACAAACACUUCAAAUUGAUACAUAAUACAAUCAUUUUUAAAAAAUACAAUAUGAACUAUUUAUUUUAUAAAUAGUGAAGGUUUUACAAACCAAAUCUUUUAUACUCUAGCAUCACAUAUACAGUGCACAAUUAAGGACGAAGGGUCUGACGUAAUUUGCAAACAGACGAAGAACAAUGAUGUGGAUGACGUAAUUUGCAAAUAGACGAAGAGCAACCUUUCGUUGCGCAGUGCCUUUGUCUCAAACAUUGGAAAUCGGAUACACUGGAAUGACAACUGACACCCUGGAGCUUCAUUCCUGAUGCACUGUUGCAGCAGAUCUCAGGCGGCAAUAAUGCGAGUGCAGGCGGUGAACAUGUGUUCCAGGGUGUCACACUUAAUACAGAACAUGCAGGAAGCCGAUGGCGUGCGUCCCAUCCGCAAUAGCAAAUCUCCGUGCGGGAUCUUGCCAUUUAGAACAAAGUAUAGUGCGGACCGCUGCUCCGAUGAUAGUUUUGUGUAGGGGGUGUUUUUCCACACCCUUUUCCAGUUGAGAUUCGGUAAUUGUUCCUGUAUAUUCACGGUGGGUAACCGUUCCACUAGCGUCUUGCGAAACGCCUUAGUGAACGGGUGUUGCUCGAGCGUGACGGGAACGUAGGUGAGUUGUUGAACAACGCUCUCGAAGGCACGGAUACGCCGUUUGGAUCGCCGUGAUGUCAGGCGGGUUAUCGGCACACUGUAUGUGAUGAGCACCAAACGGCAGGCACUCCUGCUCUACCACGUACCGGUUGGUCAUCAAGGCUAUAGCUGCUACGGCUGGGAUGUGUAGGUUGAGUCCCCCACGGCUCCGUUUCAGUUUGCAUCCGAGCACAUCAUUUUGGUGUGCUGUCAAUGCUGUCUCAUGGCACGCACCACAUACUAUUAUCAAAAGGAAAGUAAACAAAUUUCGCAGGGAGCAAUGCUGUUCG
Long non-coding RNA from Anopheles coustani, 1717 nucleotides. RefSeq lists it as uncharacterized. NCBI's taxonomy places the organism in Eukaryota, Metazoa, Arthropoda, Insecta, Diptera, Culicidae. The record is from RefSeq and is a predicted model, not a curated record. The transcript is spliced from 3 exons.